GAUGAACGCUGGCGGCGUGCCUAAUACAUGCAAGUCGAGCGAACAGACGAGGAGCUUGCUCCUCUGACGUUAGCGGCGGACGGGUGAGUAACACGUGGAUAACCUACCUAUAAGACUGGGAUAACUUCGGGAAACCGGAGCUAAUACCGGAUAAUAUAUUGAACCGCAUGGUUCAAUAGUGAAAGACGGUUUUGCUGUCACUUAUAGAUGGAUCCGCGCCGCAUUAGCUAGUUGGUAAGGUAACGGCUUACCAAGGCAACGAUGCGUAGCCGACCUGAGAGGGUGAUGGGCCACACUGGAACUGAGACACGGUCCAGACUCCUACGGGAGGCAGCAGUAGGGAAUCUUCCGCAAUGGGCGAAAGCUUGACGGAGCAACGCCGCGUGAGUGAUGAAGGUCUUCGGAUCGUAAAACUCUGUUAUUAGGGAAGAACAAAUGUGUAAGUAACUAUGCACGUCUUGACGGUACCUAAUCAGAAAGCCACGGCUAACUACGUG
This 497-nucleotide ribosomal RNA is filed under the name uncultured bacterium. RNAcentral's name for it is "partial 16S ribosomal RNA". It matches the Rfam family "Bacterial small subunit ribosomal RNA", at positions 28 to 507 of the family's 1533-position model. The record is from RNAcentral.